AGUGAACGCUGGCGGUAGGCCUAACACAUGCAAGUCGAACGGCAGCACAGUAAGAGCUUGCUCUUACGGGUGGCGAGUGGCGGACGGGUGAGGAAUACAUCGGAAUCUACUUUUUCGUGGGGGAUAACGUAGGGAAACUUACGCUAAUACCGCAUACGACCUACGGGUGAAAGCAGGGGAUCUUCGGACCUUGCGCGAUUGAAUGAGCCGAUGUCGGAUUAGCUAGUUGGCGGGGUAAAGGCCCACCAAGGCGACGAUCCGUAGCUGGUCUGAGAGGAUGAUCGGCCACACUGGAACUGAGGCACGGUCCAGACUCCUACGGGAGGCAGCAGUGGGGAAUAUUGGACAAUGGGCGCAAGCCUGAUCCAGCCAUACCGCGUGGGUGAAGAAGGCCUUCGGGUUGUAAAGCCCUUUUGUUGGGAAAGAAAAGCAGCGGGUUAAUACCCCGCUGUUCUGACGGUACCCAAAGAAUAAGCACCGGCUAACUUCGUG
Molecule: ribosomal RNA, 492 nt
Filed under: uncultured bacterium
Lineage: Bacteria
Description: partial 16S ribosomal RNA
Rfam family: Bacterial small subunit ribosomal RNA
Source: RNAcentral